RNAcentral lists this long non-coding RNA (548 nucleotides) under Zonotrichia albicollis (white-throated sparrow). RNAcentral describes it as "lncRNA (ENSZALG00000010887.1)". Lineage: Eukaryota; Metazoa; Chordata; Aves; Passeriformes; Passerellidae. The record is from RNAcentral.
CCAUCUUUUGACGGUGUCUUUGCUGGCAGGAGGAUGGUAUUGCAUCAUUGGGCCUUAAGACAGUAAAAGAAAGAGCAUCACGGAGUGGUGCAAGAGUUAUUAAUUUGACUUUGGUUAAGAAAACUGAGUGUCCACUCUAAGUAGGAUUGAUUAUUUGCCAUGUUUUUUUAAUCCAGGGACCAGAUCUUCUUCAGAAAGCUGGAGAUCAUGAAAGAGUUCUAUUUAUAAAGCCAUAAAGAUGAUGGUUUACAAAGUUCUUCAAUCAAAUCAAAACUUCCACAGGAACGUGCCUCAAGAGAGAUAAUCAUAACAUUCAGUUUUCAGGCUUCUGCAGAUACACCACUGAAGAAAUGAUGAAGGGUGGUGAUCAACGCUAACACGUGUCACAAGUUAUAUACAGCCUGAUUAAAUGACUCCUUGCGGCCAACUGGUCUUAGUGUCUGAUGCAUGCACUAGAGCUCAUCCUGAACUCAUCAUCAUCUCUUUUUCAGCAGGAACAUACUGGAAGGGUAACACUGAAGGGUCCUUUACAGAGCCAGGGAGGGCAG